GUUUGAUCCUGGCUCAGAUUGAACGCUGGCGGCAUGCCUUACACAUGCAAGUCGAACGGCAGCACGGGAGCAAUCCUGGUGGCGAGUGGCGAACGGGUGAGUAAUAUAUCGGAACGUGCCCAGUCGUGGGGGAUAACGUAGAGAAAUUUACGCUAAUACCGCAUACGAUCUAAGGAUGAAAGCGGGGGACCUUCGGGCCUCGCGCGAUUGGAGCGGCUGAUAUCAGAUUAGGUUGUUGGUGAGGUAAAAGCUCACCAAGCCGACGAUCUGUAGCUGGUUUGAGAGAACGACCAGCCACACUGGGACUGAG
RNAcentral lists this ribosomal RNA (310 nucleotides) under Conticribra weissflogii. Its description in RNAcentral is "partial Bacterial small subunit ribosomal RNA". It matches the Rfam family "Bacterial small subunit ribosomal RNA", at positions 11 to 323 of the family's 1533-position model. Lineage: Eukaryota; Bacillariophyta; Thalassiosirophyceae; Thalassiosirales; Thalassiosiraceae. The record is from RNAcentral.